GACGAACGCUGGCGGCGUGCUUAACACAUGCAAGUCGAACGGAAAGGCCCUGCUUUUGUGGGGUGCUCGAGUGGCGAACGGGUGAGUAACACGUGAGUAACCUGCCCUUGACUUUGGGAUAACUUCAGGAAACUGGGGCUAAUACCGGAUAGGAGCUCCUGCUGCAUGGUGGGGGUUGGAAAGUUUCGGCGGUUGGGGAUGGACUCGCGGCUUAUCAGCUUGUUGGUGGGGUAGUGGCUUACCAAGGCUUUGACGGGUAGCCGGCCUGAGAGGGUGACCGGCCACAUUGGGACUGAGAGACGGCCCAGGCUCCUACGGGAGGCAGCAGUGGGGAAUAUUGCACAAGGGGCGGAAGGCUGAUGCAGCAACGCCGCGUGCGGGAUGACGGCCUUCGGGUUGUAAACCGCUUUCGCCUGUGACGAAGCGUGAGUGACGGUAAUGGGUAAAGAAGCACCGGCUAACUACGUG
This 468-nucleotide ribosomal RNA is filed under the name uncultured bacterium. RNAcentral's name for it is "partial 16S ribosomal RNA". It matches the Rfam family "Bacterial small subunit ribosomal RNA", at positions 28 to 507 of the family's 1533-position model. The record is from RNAcentral.